This 551-nucleotide ribosomal RNA is filed under the name Streptomyces sp. Act17(2015). Its description in RNAcentral is "bacterial SSU rRNA". It matches the Rfam family "Bacterial small subunit ribosomal RNA", at positions 748 to 1286 of the family's 1533-position model. Lineage: Bacteria; Bacillati; Actinomycetota; Actinomycetes; Kitasatosporales; Streptomycetaceae. The record is from RNAcentral.
GAGGAGCGAAAGCGUGGGGAGCGAACAGGAUUAGAUACCCUGGUAGUCCCCCCCGUAAACGGUGGGCACUAGGUGUGGGCAACAUUCCACGUUGUCCGUGCCGCAGCUAACGCAUUAAGUGCCCCCCCUGGGGAGUACGGCCGCAAGGCUAAAACUCAAAGGAAUUGACGGGGGCCCGCACAAGCGGCGGAGCACUGUGGCUUAAUUCGACGCAACGCGAAGAACCUUACCAAGGCUUGACAUACACCUGGAAACGUCCAGAGAUGGGCGCCCCCUUGUGGUCGGUGUACAGGUGGUGCAUGGCUGUCGAUCAGCUCGUGUCGUGAGAUGUUGGGUUAAGUCCCGGCAACGAGCGCAACCCUUGUCCCGUGUUGCCAGCAGGCCCUUGUGGUGCUGGGGACUCACGGGCCAGACCGCCGGGGUCAACUCGGAGGAAGGUGGGGACGACGUCAAGUCAUCAUGCCCCUUAUGUCUUGGGCUGCACACGUGCUACAAUGGCCGGUACAAUGAGCUGCGAUACCGCGAGGUGGAGCGAAUCUCAAAAAGCCGGU